UGAACAUAAAACCACCAGUAGGAUAAAAUCAGAAGUAUCAACUGUUCAUGUUCCUAGAACCUGACAUGAUACUUGUGUCUGCAGUACUCAUAUAAAAUUUUUCUGUACUAGAUAGAUUGAAGUUAAACACAAACAUAUAAAGAUACACAAACUUAAAGGGAAUAUUCUUGUGUCUUCCUCAAUUUCUUUUCUGGAUAAAUUUAAAAUCAAAUUAUCUGGAUAUUUAUCUUAUUUUCUCCUUUUGCUGUAGUCCAUUGGAUAUUAAUAUGAGGAUUUCUUUACCCCUUGCCCUUCCAGAGCCCAUGGUGGGCAUACUUAUCAAUAAGUGCCCAUGGUGGGCACUUAUUCUUGCCAAGCCCAGUUGGGCCUCCCAAUCCUCAACAAGACAAUGGACAUUGACUGGAAUUGACAUGUGAGAUAAAGCCCAUUUUCCACCCUCGAUUUAAAUACAUUCUUUUAAGGGAGUACUUGGGUAAUUUGGAAAGAAAGGUAGCAAAUGACAUAAUAAAAAAUCAAUAUAUGUAGAGUUCGAGAAUUUUAGAGCCAGAGAAAUCUCAAAGAGUUGUCUUAUUUUUCUUGGACUUGACUUAUUUGCCAAUACACAAAUGUACCAUAUCUGCUACAUAUCUUCUGGUUAUACCCCCCCCCCAUUCCCACCCCAGAUCCAGUGUCUACCCUUCUCCACCCAGCUGUGUGCACUGGGGGCUGACCUGGUCUUCCUUUUGGCAAAUGGCCAGUGGGAGGUACAAGCAGGAGAUCUGCCAAUCAGCCCUAUUUGUACAUUUCCAGGAUCGAUGUAGGAAGAAGUACAUUGCUGUGUGUUUGUAACUCAGGCCAUCAUUUGAGGGUAAGUAACAAAGAGGUCUGGCGUGGCUUUCAAAGGAAGUAAGGUGAAGAUUCUUCUCCCCAGCCUACUAAAUAAACCGCUGAGGCCUUUCAUGACUCAGAAACCACAGACCCCACAGACAACAUGCAUCUAUUCAUUCUUGUCUACGAAUAUUGAUGGAGAGCCUAUUGUGUGACUAACACAGUGCUCUGGUUGAGGAUGUAAUGGUAAAAUAAGAUUCACUCCCUCCCCUCAAAAAUAGAUAAUCCCACUCCAGUGUGGAACAUUCUACAAUGCAUAGGGCAAUGUAAUCUAAUGGCAAAGAACACAAGCUGAGUUUUGUCACUCACCAGGCUGUGUGAUCUUGUACAAGCCACUUCCCUUCUCUGUGUUUCAACUUUCUCAUGUGUAUUUCAAGGAAAUUACCCAGGUUAUGGGAUUAAAUAAAAUAGUGCCUAUCAUGUAUUUAGCCCAAGUGUCAGUAAAUGUGAGCUCUGAUGCUGGCUAUGAUUUUAUGAUAAGAGUUGGCCUGUAAUACCGUGGGGGCACAUUGAUAUCUUGAAGUACCAUAUUUCUGAACAAAUGUAUUUACAUUCAAGGCAAACCUAGAAAAAAAUCCGAGUAAUUGGAAAUAUGUUUUUUAAAAAAUUUUCUGCCCAAGAGCCUCUCUAUCCAAACCUGUUUUCUUUUCCCCUUCUGGAAGCUCUUAGUGUCCUGGUUCUUUGAUUUUCUCUGUCAAUAUAUCUCUCAGUAGACUGGCAGACUGGAAGGAAUCUAAGCAGGAUAUGUCCAUCAUAUUGUCUUUGAUUUAGAGCACUGUCCUUCCUUGAGGUGUUCAUGUCUCACCCAAAGAACGGCAUCAUUUCAGGUAUCAGUGAAACUGCCUUUUCUGAGAGUAGUGAAAGAAUUUGGUAUUUUUACAGGGAGAGAUAGAUAGGCUGAUGGAAUGGUCUCCACAACAGACUCAUGAACACAUGGGAACUUGGUUCACAACAGAGACAGAAAUACAAAUCUACAGAGAGAGGAAGAAUUAGUCAAGUGCUGGGAUGAUUGAUGGAAACAGGAAAUCCCUACCUCACACUUUAGACACAAGUAAAUUCCAGAUGGGAUUAAGAUGUACAUAGGAAAGGGAAAGUUUAAAACUUUGAGGAGGAAACAUAGGGAACUUUUAAACAUAGGGGUUUAUGCCUCAAAUGGCAUACACCAAAAG
Molecule: long non-coding RNA, 2036 nt
Organism: Mustela putorius furo (domestic ferret)
Lineage: Eukaryota; Metazoa; Chordata; Mammalia; Carnivora; Mustelidae
Source: Ensembl